GUGCUUGCUUCAGAGCACAUAUACUAAAGUUGGAAUGUUACAGAGAACAUGGCCCCUGUGACUCAAAUUUGUGAAGCAUUCUGCAUUUAA
Molecule: small nuclear RNA, 90 nt
Filed under: Gorilla gorilla gorilla (western lowland gorilla)
Lineage: Eukaryota; Metazoa; Chordata; Mammalia; Primates; Hominidae
Source: RNAcentral